CGUCUACGUCAACGACAACACGCACGCGGGUACACAACCGCCUGGGAGCAGCCAGGUAGCACAAGGAGCAGUGAGGACGGUUGUGCUACAGAUCCUCACAUGCCUGGCGACACGGGUGAUGAUGUGGGCUAGGAAGGGCGCGGCAGUGUUGAUGUUGCCUCCAAGAAAAAAGGCUGCUCGAGAGAGGAGAGAGGAGACUGAGGUGGUCCGUGUGCUUUCGCGGAUGGAUUAGCCUUUUGUCUUGCUUUAUGCGUCAUCCGGACCCGUUGAGUCAUGCGGUACAUGGAUACUACCACUCUCGAGAUUGUGUUCGAGCUGCCGUUGAGGUUCAGUUUGUCGCCCUCAACCAGAAAGAUGAUAUUAGAAUCUAUUUGGUAAAUCAUCGGAACCCAAGCUGCAUAGGUAGGACUGUCCACAUGGUUCAGUGGGUAAUCUUUUCCUUUCGGAUUCAUGAAUCUUGGCCUUCCCAGCAAAGCUUACAUACUUGAAAACUGGCUUUACUUAAGGGAUAUGACUCUAAGUAGAGAAAUUUAUUUUGAUCUCCCUUUCAUGGAUUAUUUACAAUUAUUAGCAGAUGGAAAUGCAACAAUAUCAAACAGGCAUAAUUGUUCUCACAUUAUAACUGUAGUUUCUUGAUUGAACUAUGGAAAUGUAAGACGACUUUGUUUGUUUUUUACAAUAGGCAUGGGUAUCUUGGUGAGAUGAAGUCUCUAUUUUAGAUUCAGUUGUAGUGGAUAUUGUUCACUCUGCCAACUACUUUCUACUCUGCCAUUGCGUGCCAGCAAGGUAUAGUUAGUUCUUACAUAUGCAGUUAGUCCUUAGAUGUAUUAUACAUAUUAUUUGUGGUCCAUAACAUUAUUUUUAAUUGGGUUGCUCAUUUCCCACAUCAAGAUUGAGUUACUGUUAUUGAUCUCUCUUUUGACCGCUGCACUUUAUAGCUUGACUUCUCUUCUUAACUGCAAGCAUAUGCUUUCAAAUUCUUAUUGAUACAGCAAAAUUCGAGCAUCUUGUGUGUUAAAUAUUUAGUGACAAAAAACGAAUGCUACAUACUAAUUAUCAUAGACCCUUUGACCACACCCUUCUGUAUAUCGUGCUCACAUAUCAUUCUCUGUAUUAUAUUUAAAAGCUCAUGACUGAGAGAUACUUUACAUGCAAAUAACAGAAUGCAGACCGGAGGUUGAUACCAUUUGCGAAUAAAAUGAUCAAGUACAGGGCCUUGAAACCUCUUCAAUUUCACUAGACAAUAAUGUACACCUUCUUUUUUACUGUGUUUUGGAUGAGAAAAUUAGCAAAAUCAUCAUAGUUAUACUUAGUUCAUGGCCGGCAUCAUUUUACAGUUGUUAGUCUGUGGAGUUCACAUUUUAUUUCAUAUUCAUGCACAAUGUAUCUAAAUUGAUACCUGAUCAUUCACAUGUAACUCCGAAUGAAUAGUUUACAUAUUCGUGUGGUCAUUGAGUGGUUACAUUCAUUUUGCAUUCAACACCUGUUUCUUUUUGUUCUUUUGGGAACCUCAACUUUUGAUUUGCAGGAGUAAAAAGUUAAUUAAGUAUGCAUUCUUUGUUUUCCGGCUAUGCUAUUGCUUCAUUCUUAGUUAAAGUAUAUAUAGUUCCAACCAAACUUCUUAUUCUAAAUUUUUUGAAACGUGUUCUUUUGCUUGAUGCUCAUAGCGAUACGUCUCUCUCCCUGAUAUUGUCACAUACAAUAAAUGUUUUCUGCAUUCGCCAAUAAAUUCGCACCCUGCCACUCUGCUUUUGAAUUGACCAAGUAAUCUGACAACCUGCCACUCCCCUUGCGAGUUGUACGUUUAACAACCAUCCUGCUGUCUAGAUAACACAUGCAUCCAACUGCACAUGGAGUAGACAAACAUAAUUUGCAAUUUCUUUUAUGCACAGUUGUUCAAAUUUCAAAAGAAAGUUUAUAUGCUUCAAAGAAAAGAAAAUAAGUUACUCAAAAGGUGAAUGGGCAUGCAUUCGGACCAAAUCGUAGAUUCAUUAUACAUAGGUCUUUAGGUUAUCAUGUCUCUCACUGCACAUUGUAUGUAAUUUGUUUGUUGACUUGGUGUCCAUUUUUUCCUUACCACAUGGUCCAUUCAUAUCAAAGGUGGGAUAUUACUAAUGAAUCUUCGUCUUUCCCGCAAAGUUUAUAUACUUUAUAAAUUGCUUAGGUUAAGGCCUAAUGCCAACUAAAAUCAUCUGGUGCCAUUAGCAGCUGCUGGAAAUGCAACAACAUCGAACUUAAAUGAUUGCUCUUACUGUCUCACCUGAACACAAGGAAAGUAUAAUGAAAAUAAGUGUGUAGUUUGUUCACUGUCCCAUGAAUAUUUCCGAUUGCUUGGUUUGUUUUCUACACUAGGCAUAGGUGUAUAGGUGAGAAGAGAGUCCUUAUUUCAGUCAUAGUUGAAAUGAAAUUUGUACACUUUACGACUAAGUACAUUUGUUUACUUUGUCAUCGUGGGCCAGCUAGGUAUUAUUAGUGCUUACACAUAAGUGUUUCCUUAGAGGAGAAUCCUGACAGUGCCACAGGUGGCGUCUUCUUCAGAGAUGGAGAUCCGGAUUGAGCUGACUAAAAAUAGACGAAGUAGGCAUCGGGAUUAUAUACUAAGAAUUAUGCACUACCUGUAGAGAUAUAUACUGCAAUUUACACUUUCAAGUAUGUUAUAUUAAGUGCCAUGACCAUGCUUCCAGUAUAUGUAUGUUGUACAUCCAGUUAGUUACUGAUGAUUUAUGCUUAAUUUUUAGGGCGCAUUUUGUACUGCUGACAUCAGAUGGUUCAGGGCUCCUUUUGCUAUUUAUUUGUGGCUUGCACUGAGGCUUACUGUGAUAGCGGUGGUUGGUGUCGAAUUACCAGUGGUAUAUGCUAGAAGCUAGCUUUGAAACACACACAGGUUGUACUCCGUACCGAAGGCUUUUGUAAUGGCAUGCUUUGUUUGUACAAGUACAAAACUAUGUAAUGAGUUUCUGUUGUUUAAUCGUUCAUUAGUAAAGAGAUGGUGCAGCCAAUGGAUCUA
Molecule: long non-coding RNA, 3007 nt
Organism: Lolium rigidum
Lineage: Eukaryota; Viridiplantae; Streptophyta; Magnoliopsida; Poales; Poaceae
Exons: 4
Source: RefSeq, a predicted model, not a curated record